Molecule: ribosomal RNA, 1277 nt
Filed under: Streptomyces sp. DvalAA-43
Lineage: Bacteria; Bacillati; Actinomycetota; Actinomycetes; Kitasatosporales; Streptomycetaceae
Description: bacterial LSU rRNA
Rfam family: Bacterial large subunit ribosomal RNA
Source: RNAcentral
UGUGGCCAAGUUUUUAAGGGCGCACGGUGGAUGCCUUGGCACCAGGAACCGAUGAAGGACGUGGGAGGCCACGAUAGGCCCCGGGGAGCUGUCAACCGAGCUUUGAUCCGGGGGUGUCCGAAUGGGGAAACCCGGCAGUCGUCAUGGGCUGUCACCCGCUGCUGAACACAUAGGCAGUGUGGAGGGAACGAGGGGAAGUGAAACAUCUCAGUACCCUCAGGAAGAGAAAACAACCGUGAUUCCGGGAGUAGUGGCGAGCGAAACUGGAUGAGGCCAAACCGUAUGCGUGUGAUACCCGGCAGGGGUUGCGCAUGCGGGGUUGUGGGAUCUCUCUUUUGCGGUCUGCCGGCCGUGAGACGAGUCAGAAACCGUUGAUGUAGGCGAAGGACAUGCGAAAGGUCCGGCGUAGAGGGUAAGACCCCCGUAGCUGAAACAUUGACGGCUCGUUUGAGAGACACCCAAGUAGCACGGGGCCCGAGAAAUCCCGUGUGAAUCUGGCGGGACCACCCGCUAAGCCUAAAUAUUCCCUGGUGACCGAUAGCGGAUAGUACCGUGAGGGAAUGGUGAAAAGUACCGCGGGAGCGGAGUGAAAUAGUACCUGAAACCGUGUGCCUACAAGCCGUGGGAGCGUCGCGCAUCGAGCUUGCUCGGUGCGUCGUGACUGCGUGCCUUUUGAAGAAUGAGCCUGCGAGUUUGCGGUGUGUUGCGAGGUUAACCCGUGUGGGGAAGCCGUAGCGAAAGCGAGUCCGAAUAGGGCGUUUUAGUAGCACGCUCAAGACCCGAAGCGGAGUGAUCUAGCCAUGGGCAGGUUGAAGCGGAGGUAAGACUUCGUGGAGGACCGAACCCACCAGGGUUGAAAACCUGGGGGAUGACCUGUGGUUAGGGGUGAAAGGCCAAUCAAACUCCGUGAUAGCUGGUUCUCCCCGAAAUGCAUUUAGGUGCAGCGUCGUGUGUUUCUUGCCGGAGGUAGAGCACUGGAUAGGCGAUGGGCCCUACCGGGUUACUGACCUUAGCCAAACUCCGAAUGCCGGUAAGUGAGAGCGCGGCAGUGAGACUGUGGGGGAUAAGCUCCAUGGUCGAGAGGGAAACAGCCCAGAGCAUCGACUAAGGCCCCUAAGCGUACGCUAAGUGGGAAAGGAUGUGGAGUCGCAGAGACAACCAGGAGGUUGGCUUAGAAGCAGCCACCCUUGAAAGAGUGCGUAAUAGCUCACUGGUCAAGUGAUUCCGCGCCGACAAUGUAGCGGGGCUCAAGCGUACCGCCGAAGUCGUGUCAUUCC